Molecule: ribosomal RNA, 405 nt
Filed under: uncultured bacterium
Lineage: Bacteria
Description: partial 16S ribosomal RNA
Rfam family: Bacterial small subunit ribosomal RNA
Source: RNAcentral
AUUGAACGCUGGCGGCAGGCUUAACACAUGCAAGUCGAACGAGUGGCGGACUGGUGAGUAAUGCUUGGGAAUCUAGCUUAUGGAGGGGGAUAACUACGGGAAACUGUAGCUAAUACCGCUUACCAUAGGAUGAGCUCAAGUGGGAUUAGGUAGUUGGUGAGGUAAAGGGUCACCAAGCCGACGAGCUCUAGCUGGUCUGAGCGGAUGACCAGCCACACUGGGACUGAGACACGGCCCAGACUCCUGGGGGAGGCAGCAGGGGGGAAGAUUGCGCAAUGGGGGCAACCUGACGCAGCCAUGCCGCGUGAAUGAAGAAGGCCGUCGGGUUGUAAAGUUCUUUCGGUAGCGAGGCGUUAACUACAGAAGAAGCACCGGCUAACUCCGUGCCAGCCGCCGCGGUAAUUC